CGUGAGAUGUUGGGUUAAGUCCCGCAACGAGCGCAACCCUCGCCCUUAGUUGCCAGCAUUCAGUUGGGCACUCUAAGGGGACUGCCGGUGAUAAGCCGAGAGGAAGGUGGGGAUGACGUCAAGUCCUCAUGGCCCUUACGGGCUGGGCUACACACGUGCUACAAUGGUGGUGACAGUGAGCAGCGAGACCGCGAGGUCGAGCUAAUCUUCAAAAGCCAUCUCAGUUCGGAUUGCACUCUGCAACUCGAGUGCA
This 253-nucleotide ribosomal RNA is filed under the name uncultured bacterium. RNAcentral describes it as "partial 16S ribosomal RNA". It matches the Rfam family "Bacterial small subunit ribosomal RNA", at positions 1066 to 1320 of the family's 1533-position model. The record is from RNAcentral.